Molecule: unclassified non-coding RNA, 240 nt
Filed under: soil metagenome
Description: partial contains 5.8S ribosomal RNA, internal transcribed spacer 2, and large subunit ribosomal RNA
Source: RNAcentral
AACGGUCUAUACCUGCGGUACCUGCGGAGGGAUCAUUACCGAGUGAGGGCCCUCUGGGUCCAACCUCCCACCCGUGUUUAUCGUACCUUGUUGCUUCGGCGGGCCCGCCGCAAGGCCGCCGGGGGGCUUCCGCCCCCGGGCCCGCGCCCGCCGAAGACACCUGUGAACGCUGUAUGAAGAUUGCAGUCUGAGCGAAAAGCUAAAUUUAUUAAAACUUUUAACAAUGGAUCUCUAGAUCGG